AUUGAACGCUGGCGGCAGGCCUAACACAUGCAAGUCGAGCGGAUGAAGGGAGCUUGCUCCUGGAUUCAGCGGCGGACGGGUGAGUAAUGCCUAGGAAUCUGCCUGGUAGUGGGGGAUAACGUCCGGAAACGGGCGCUAAUACCGCAUACGUCCUGAGGGAGAAAGUGGGGGAUCUUCGGACCUCACGCUAUCAGAUGAGCCUAGGUCGGAUUAGCUAGUUGGUUGGGUAAAGGCUUACCAAGGCGACGAUCCGUAACUGGUCUGAGAGGAUGAUCAGUCACACUGGAACUGAGACACGGUCCAGACUCCUACGGGAGGCAGCAGUGGGGAAUAUUGGACAAUGGGCGAAAGCCUGAUCCAGCCAUGCCGCGUGUGUGAAGAAGGUCUUCGGAUUGUAAAGCACUUUAAGUUGGGAGGAAGGGCAGUAAGUUAAUACCUUGCUGUUUUGACGUUACCAACAGAAUAAGCACCGGCUAACUUCGUG
This 484-nucleotide ribosomal RNA is filed under the name uncultured bacterium. RNAcentral describes it as "partial 16S ribosomal RNA". It matches the Rfam family "Bacterial small subunit ribosomal RNA", at positions 30 to 507 of the family's 1533-position model. The record is from RNAcentral.